RNAcentral lists this ribosomal RNA (220 nucleotides) under uncultured bacterium. RNAcentral's name for it is "partial 16S ribosomal RNA". It matches the Rfam family "Bacterial small subunit ribosomal RNA", at positions 129 to 334 of the family's 1533-position model. The record is from RNAcentral.
CCCUCAAGUGAGGAAUACCGGCGAGAAAUCGCCGACAAGACCGCAUAGGCUGCCCGCUCUUGGGUGAGCGAGCAGCAAAGGACUCCUUCGCAAGAAGGGGGCCGCUUGAGGAUGGGCCCGUGGCCGAUUAGCUAGUUGGUGAGGUAAGAGCUCACCAAGGCGACGAUCGGUAGCUGGUCUGAGAGGACGAGCAGCCACACUGGGAUUGAGAACGGCCCAG